This is a long non-coding RNA of Sinocyclocheilus rhinocerous, 87 nucleotides long. RefSeq lists it as uncharacterized. The transcript has 3 exons. Lineage: Eukaryota; Metazoa; Chordata; Actinopteri; Cypriniformes; Cyprinidae. The record is from RefSeq and is a predicted model, not a curated record.
ACAUGUUGCAGCUCUUAAUUUUUAACUCUCAAAGUGCAUUAGAUAGAAUAAUUUAACUUUAAAAUUCUGUGCAAAACACUUGUGAUU